RNAcentral lists this ribosomal RNA (906 nucleotides) under Halomonas alimentaria. RNAcentral's name for it is "bacterial SSU rRNA". It matches the Rfam family "Bacterial small subunit ribosomal RNA", at positions 52 to 949 of the family's 1533-position model. The record is from RNAcentral. Lineage: Bacteria; Pseudomonadati; Pseudomonadota; Gammaproteobacteria; Oceanospirillales; Halomonadaceae.
AACAUGCAAGUCGAGCGGAAACGAUGGAAGCUUGCUUCCAGGCGUCGAGCGGCGGACGGGUGAGUAAUGCAUAGGAAUCUGCCCGAUAGUGGGGGAUAACCUGGGGAAACCCAGGCUAAUACCGCAUACGUCCUACGGGAGAAAGCAGGGGAUCUUCGGACCUUGCGCUAUCGGAUGAGCCUAUGUCGGAUUAGCUAGUUGGUGAGGUAAUGGCUCACCAAGGCCGCGAUCCGUAGCUGGUCUGAGAGGAUGAUCAGCCACAUCGGGACUGAGACACGGCCCGAACUCCUACGGGAGGCAGCAGUGGGGAAUAUUGGACAAUGGGCGAAAGCCUGAUCCAGCCAUGCCGCGUGUGUGAAGAAGGCUUUCGGGUUGUAAAGCACUUUCAGUGGGGAAGAAAUCCUCGGGGCCAAUACCCUCGAGGGAGGACAUCACCCACAGAAGAAGCACCGGCUAACUCCGUGCCAGCAGCCGCGGUAAUACGGAGGGUGCGAGCGUUAAUCGGAAUUACUGGGCGUAAAGCGCGCGUAGGCGGCGUGAUAAGCCGGUUGUGAAAGCCCCGGGCUCAACCUGGGAACGGCAUCCGGAACUGUCAGGCUAGAGUGCAGGAGAGGAAGGUAGAAUUCCCGGUGUAGCGGUGAAAUGCGUAGAGAUCGGGAGGAAUACCAGUGGCGAAGGCGGCCUUCUGGACUGACACUGACGCUGAGGUGCGAAAGCGUGGGUAGCAAACAGGAUUAGAUACCCUGGUAGUCCACGCCGUAAACGAUGUCGACUAGCCGUUGGGGUCCUUGUGACCUUUGUGGCGCAGUUAACGCGAUAAGUCGACCGCCUGGGGAGUACGGCCGCAAGGUUAAAACUCAAAUGAAUUGACGGGGGCCCGCACAAGCGGUGGAGCAUGUGGUUUAA